RNAcentral lists this ribosomal RNA (1409 nucleotides) under Staphylococcus warneri. RNAcentral's name for it is "bacterial SSU rRNA". It matches the Rfam family "Bacterial small subunit ribosomal RNA". Lineage: Bacteria; Bacillati; Bacillota; Bacilli; Caryophanales; Staphylococcaceae. The record is from RNAcentral.
AUGCAAGUCGAGCGAACAGAUAAGGAGCUUGCUCCUUUGACGUUAGCGGCGGACGGGUGAGUAACACGUGGAUAACCUACCUAUAAGACUGGGAUAACUUCGGGAAACCGGAGCUAAUACCGGAUAACAUAUUGAACCGCAUGGUUCAAUAGUGAAAGGCGGCUUUGCUGUCACUUAUAGAUGGAUCCGCGCCGUAUUAGCUAGUUGGUAAGGUGACGGCUUACCAAGGCAACGAUACGGUGCCGACCUGAUAGGGUGAUCGGUCACACUGGAACUGAGACACCCGUCCAGACUCCUACGGGAGGCCAGCAGUAGGGAAUCUUCCCCACUGGGCGAAAGCCUGACGGAGCAACGCCUGGUGAGUGAUGAAGGUUUUCGCAUCCUUAAACUCUGUUAUCCGGGAAAGAACAAAUGUGUAAGUAACUGUGCACAUCUUGACAGUACCUGAUCAGAAUUCCACGGCUAACUACGUGCCAGCAGCCGCGGUAAUACGUAGGUGGCAAGCGUUAUCCGGAAUUAUUGGGCGUAAAGCGCGCGUAGGCGGUUUUUUAAGUCUGAUGUGAAAGCCCACGGCUCAACCGUGGAGGGUCAUUGGAAACUGGAAAACUUGAGUGCAGAAGAGGAAAGUGGAAUUCCAUGUGUAGCGGUGAAAUGCGCAGAGAUAUGGAGGAACACCAGUGGCGAAGGCGACUUUCUGGUCUGUAACUGACGCUGAUGUGCGAAAGCGUGGGGAUCAAACAGGAUUAGAUACCCUGUUAGUCCACGCCGUAAACGAUGAGUGCUAAGUGUUAGGGGGUUUCCGCCCCUUAGUGCUGCAGCUAACGCAUUAAGCACUCCGCCUGGGGAGUACGACCGCAAGGUUGAAACUCAAAGGAAUUGACGGGGACCCGCACAAGCGGUGGAGCAUGUGGUUUAAUUCGAAGCAACGCGAAGAACCUUACCAAAUCUUGACAUCCUUUGACCGCUCUAGAGAUAGAGUCUUCCCCUUCGGGGGACAAAGUGACAGGUGGUGCAUGGUUGUCGUCAGCUCGUGUCGUGAGAUGUUGGGUUAAGUCCCGCAACGAGCGCAACCCUUAAGCUUAGUUGCCAUCAUUAAGUUGGGCACUUUAAGUUGACUGCCGGUGACAAACCGGAGGAAGGUGGGGAUGACGUCAAAUCAUCAUGCCCCUUAUGAUUUGGGCUACACACGUGCUACAAUGGACAAUACAAAGGGCAGCUAAACCGCGAGGUCAAGCAAAUCCCAUAAAGUUGUUCUCAGUUCGGAUUGUAGUCUGCAACUCGACUACAUGAAGCUGGAAUCGCUAGUAAUCGUAGAUCAGCAUGCUACGGUGAAUACGUUCCCGGGUCUUGUACACACCGCCCGUCACACCACGAGAGUUUGUAACACCCGAAGCCGGUGGAGUAACCAU